RNAcentral lists this ribosomal RNA (429 nucleotides) under Chloroflexota bacterium. RNAcentral's name for it is "Chloroflexi bacterium partial 16S ribosomal RNA". It matches the Rfam family "Bacterial small subunit ribosomal RNA", at positions 355 to 776 of the family's 1533-position model. The record is from RNAcentral. Lineage: Bacteria; Bacillati; Chloroflexota.
UGGGGAAUAUUGCACAAUGGGCGCAAGCCUGAUGCAGCCAUGCCGCGUGUAUGAAGAAGGCCUUCGGGUUGUAAAGUACUUUCAGUCGGGAGGAAGGUGGUAAGGUUAAUAACCUUGGCAAUUGACGUUACCGACAGAAGAAGCACCGGCUAACUCCGUGCCAGCAGCCGCGGUAAUACGGAGGGUGCAAGCGUUAAUCGGAAUUACUGGGCGUAAAGCGCACGCAGGCGGUUGAUUGAGUCAGAUGUGAAAUCCCCGGGCUUAACCCGGGAAUUGCAUCUGAUACUGGUCAGCUAGAGUCUUGUAGAGGGGGGUAGAAUUCCAUGUGUAGCGGUGAAAUGCGUAGAGAUGUGGAGGAAUACCGGUGGCGAAGGCGGCCCCCUGGACAAAGACUGACGCUCAGGUGCGAAAGCGGGGGGAGCAAACAGG